Molecule: ribosomal RNA, 440 nt
Filed under: uncultured Sphingomonas sp.
Lineage: Bacteria; Pseudomonadati; Pseudomonadota; Alphaproteobacteria; Sphingomonadales; Sphingomonadaceae
Description: bacterial SSU rRNA
Rfam family: Bacterial small subunit ribosomal RNA
Source: RNAcentral
CCUACGGGUGGCAGCAGUGGGGAAUAUUGGACAAUGGGCGAAAGCCUGAUCCAGCAAUGCCGCGUGAGUGAUGAAGGCCUUAGGGUUGUAAAGCUCUUUUACCCGGGAUGAUAAUGACAGUACCGGGAGAAUAAGCUCCGGCUAACUCCGUGCCAGCAGCCGCGGUAAUACGGAGGGAGCUAGCGUUGUUCGGAAUUACUGGGCGUAAAGCGCACGUAGGCGGCUUUGUAAGUUAGAGGUGAAAGCCUGGAGCUCAACUCCAGAAUUGCCUUUAAGACUGCAUCGCUUGAAUCCGGGAGAGGUGAGUGGAAUUCCGAGUGUAGAGGUGAAAUUCGUAGAUAUUCGGAAGAACACCAGUGGCGAAGGCGGCUCACUGGACCGGUAUUGACGCUGAGGUGCGAAAGCGUGGGGAGCAAACAGGAUUAGAUACCCCAGUAGUC